UAUUUAUUUAUAUUAAAAAUAAUUAUAAAAUAAUAUGUUUUAGUAAUUUUAUUGAAAUAAUAAUUUUUAUAAUAGUAUACUUGUAUUGUGAAAGAUUAUUGAAAUAUUUUGAAAAAUUUUUAUAAGAAAAGAAAAAUUAAUUAUUUGUACCUUGUGUAUCAGGGUUUAUUAAAUAAUUAAUAAAAAUAUUUAUUAAUCUCGAUUUUAUAAGAGUUAAUAAUUUAAUAAAGUUAAUGUAUUAAAAUUAUUUUUUAUAAAUUAUUAGAAAUGAAAUGUUAUUCGUUUAUAAAGGUAUCUAGUUUUUUUAGAAAUAAAUUAAAUUUAUAAAUUUUUGAUUUUAUUAAUUAUUUUAUUAAUUAAUAAAUUUAUUAAUUUUAAUAUUUAAAGGGAUAAGCUUUUAAAUAAAUUAUUAUAAAUUUAAUUAAAUAAUUAUUUAAAAUAUAUGCAUAAAAUUAGCAAUUAUUGUAAAAUUUGUUAUAAAUUAUUUUAUUUAUAUAUAUAUAUUAUUUAUUUAUUUUUUAAUUUAAUUUUAUAAAAAUAUUUUUUUUAAUUUAAAUUAAAAAGAAAUAAUGAUAAAAUUAGUAUAUAUAUAUGUAGAAAUAAUUAUAUUUGAUAAGUUUAUAUAAAGAACUCGGCAAAUAUUUUACUCGCCUGUUUAACAAAAACAUGUCUUUUUGAGUUAUUUUUAAAGUCUAACCUGCCCAAUGAAUAAUUUUUAAUGGCCGCAGUAAUUUGACUGUGCAAAGGUAGCAUAAUAAUUAGUCUUUUAAUUGAAGGCUUGUAUGAAUGGUUGGACGAAGUAUAAUCUGUUUCAUUUAAAUUUAUUAUAGAAUUUUAUAUUUUAGUAAAAAAGCUAAAAUUUUUUUAAAAGACGAGAAGACCCUAUAAAUCUUUAUAAUUUAAUAAUUAUUUUUUUUUUUGAUUUAUUUUAAUUUUAAUAAUUUAGAUUAUUUUAUUGGGGUGAUAUUAAAAUUUAAAUAACUUUUAAUUUUUUUUUACAUUAAUUUAUGAUUUAUUGAUCCAUUAAUAAUGAUUAUAAGAAUAAGUUACUUUAGGGAUAACAGCGUAAUUUUUUUGGAGAGUUCUUAUUGAUAAAAAAGUUUGCGACCUCGAUGUUGGAUUAAGAUAUAAUUUUAGGUGUAGUUGCUUGAAUAAUAAGUCUGUUCGACUUUUAAAUUCUUACAUGAUCUGAGUUCAGACCGGCGUAAGCCAGGUUGGUUUCUAUCUUUAAUAAAUUAUUAUAUCUUAGUACGAAAGGACCAGAUAUAAAAAUAAUUAUAUUUAUUUAUAGAUGAUU
RNAcentral lists this ribosomal RNA (1297 nucleotides) under Tephritis femoralis. Its description in RNAcentral is "16S ribosomal RNA". The stretch from base 1057 to 1216 matches the Rfam family "Archaeal large subunit ribosomal RNA", at positions 2544 to 2703 of the family's 2987-position model. Lineage: Eukaryota; Metazoa; Arthropoda; Insecta; Diptera; Tephritidae. The record is from RNAcentral.